RNAcentral lists this ribosomal RNA (519 nucleotides) under Trametes versicolor. RNAcentral's name for it is "eukaryotic LSU rRNA". The stretch from base 152 to 305 matches the Rfam family "5.8S ribosomal RNA". Lineage: Eukaryota; Fungi; Basidiomycota; Agaricomycetes; Polyporales; Polyporaceae. The record is from RNAcentral.
AGGCAUGUGCACGCUCUGCUCAUCCACUCUACCCCUGUGCACUUACUGUAGGUUGGCGUGGGCUCCUUAACGGGAGCAUUCUGCCGGCCUAUGUAUACUACAAACACUUUAAAGUAUCAGAAUGUAAACGCGUCUAACGCAUCUAUAAUACAACUUUUAGCAACGGAUCUCUUGGCUCUCGCAUCGAUGAAGAACGCAGCGAAAUGCGAUAAGUAAUGUGAAUUGCAGAAUUCAGUGAAUCAUCGAAUCUUUGAACGCACCUUGCGCUCCUUGGUAUUCCGAGGAGCAUGCCUGUUUGAGUGUCAUGGAAUUCUCAACUUAUAAAUCCUUGUGAUCUAUAAGCUUGGACUUGGAGGCUUGCUGGCCCUCGUGGUCGGCUCCUCUUGAAUGCAUUAGCUCGAUUCCGUACGGAUCGGCUCUCAGUGUGAUAAUUGUCUACGCUGUGACCGUGAAGUGUUUUGGCGAGCUUCUAACCGUCCAUUAGGACAACUUUUUAACAUCUGACCUCAAAUCAGGUAG